RNAcentral lists this ribosomal RNA (531 nucleotides) under uncultured fungus. Its description in RNAcentral is "eukaryotic LSU rRNA". The stretch from base 149 to 303 matches the Rfam family "5.8S ribosomal RNA". RNAcentral also lists the same sequence under 1 other name. The record is from RNAcentral. Lineage: Eukaryota; Fungi.
AGCUGGCCUCCCUUUCGAGGCAUGUGCACGCCUGAGCUCUUAAAUCCACAACACACCUGUGAACCCACCGUAGGCCUUCGGGCUUAUGUAUCAUAUACUCUGAAUGUGUCAUAGAAUGUUCAUGUUGCCUUAAAACGCAAUCAAAUACAACUUUCAACAACGGAUCUCUUGGCUCUCGCAUCGAUGAAGAACGCAGCGAAAUGCGAUAAGUAAUGUGAAUUGCAGAUUUUCAGUGAAUCAUCGAAUCUUUGAACGCACCUUGCGCUCCUUGGUAUUCCGAGGAGCAUGCCUGUUUGAGUGUCAUUAAAUCCUCAACCCCACCGAUUUGCUUCGGGGGGAUUGGACUUGGAGCGUGCUGGCGAAGGUCGGCUCCUCUUUAAAUGCAUCAGCGGAGAAGAAAGCUCGUCCCAGUGUGAUAAUCCUGUUGCGCUGUGGUGGGGUGAAAAUUCCGCUUCCAACCGUCCUCCGGGACAAGACAUCUCAAUUUGACCUCAAAUCAGGUAGGACUACCCGCUGAACUUAAGCAUAUCA